AGGCACGACUUUUCUAUGUUGUAAUAGUUCAACUCAAUGAAUUUAUUUAAUUACUUCCAGCUGAAACAGGAAAAGAAACUUUGCCUGUGGAUGUAAGUCCUUUUGAUUCCAUUUUGAGCGAAUGUGGCUCAAGUAGAAUGACCCGCAGCAGUGGAGUGGCAAAAAAUGUGAACAAGGAAAGUGAUGUUAAAAUCAAUAUCAGUGAAGAAACUUUCACCAUUCCCACUCGCAGUAGUAGGGCAGCUUCAAAGGCUGCUGCCAGCAAGAUCACUCUCAGUUAAAUUUAUCUCUAACCAAAAAACUGAGGAGACCAUCAUCUGAAGGAAGAACGGAGGCAUCCAUGGAAUUCAUUCCCCCUGUGUCUUCCACCGUGUUAGCAUGUAAGAAUGAUGGACCACUUCUCAAUGGAAGGUACGUAUUUGACUGAGCGGAAAACAGUUACUUUGUUAAUUUUAUCUUUUGUAAGUUUGACCCAAACAUUUUUUUGCCUCUUUAUGCUGAAGCU
RNAcentral lists this long non-coding RNA (505 nucleotides) under Bemisia tabaci. RNAcentral describes it as "lncRNA ENSSSA2NGG010434". Lineage: Eukaryota; Metazoa; Arthropoda; Insecta; Hemiptera; Aleyrodidae. The record is from RNAcentral.